UACGUAGGUGGCAAGCGUUAUCCGGAAUUAUUGGGCGUAAAGAGCGCGCAGGUGGUUGAUUAAGUCUGAUGUGAAAGCCCACGGCUUAACCGUGGAGGGUCAUUGGAAACUGGUCGACUUGAGUGCAGAAGAGGGAAGUGGAAUUCCUAGUGUAGCGGUGAAAUGCGUAGAUAUUAGGAGGAACACCGGCGGCGAGGGCGGCUUACUGGACGAAGACUGACGUUGAGGCUCGAAAGCGUGGGGAGCAAACAGGAUUAGAUACCCGUGUAGUCCCU
Molecule: ribosomal RNA, 275 nt
Filed under: uncultured prokaryote
Description: partial 16S ribosomal RNA
Rfam family: Bacterial small subunit ribosomal RNA
Source: RNAcentral